AGAGUUUGAUCCUGGCUCAGGACGAACGCUGGCGGCGUGCUUAACACAUGCAAGUCGAACGAUGAAGCCCAGCUUGCUGGGUGGAUUAGUGGCGAACGGGUGAGUAACACGUGGGUGAUCUGCCCUGCACUUCGGGAUAAGCCUGGGAAACUGGGUCUAAUACCGGAUAGGACCGGCGGCCGCAUGGCUGUCGGUGGAAAGGUUUUCCGGUGCAGGAUGGGCCCGCGGCCUAUCAGCUUGUUGGUGGGGUAACGGCCCACCAAGGCGACGACGGGUAGCCGGCCUGAGAGGGCGACCGGCCACACUGGGACUGAGACACGGCCCAGACUCCUACGGGAGGCAGCAGUGGGGAAUAUUGCACAAUGGGCGCAAGCCUGAUGCAGCGACGCCGCGUGAGGGAUGACGGCCUUCGGGUUGUAAACCUCUUUCAGUACCGACGAAGCGCAAGUGACGG
RNAcentral lists this ribosomal RNA (454 nucleotides) under Rhodococcus sp. '4.1 MW-16'. Its description in RNAcentral is "bacterial SSU rRNA". It matches the Rfam family "Bacterial small subunit ribosomal RNA", at positions 8 to 475 of the family's 1533-position model. Lineage: Bacteria; Bacillati; Actinomycetota; Actinomycetes; Mycobacteriales; Nocardiaceae. The record is from RNAcentral.